GACGGAGGAUGCAAGUGUUAUCCGGAAUCACUGGGCGUAAAGCGUCUGUAGGUGGUUUAAUAUGUCAACUGUUAAAUCUUGAGGCUCAACCUCAAAAUCGCAGUCGAAACUAUUAGGCUAGAGUAUAGUAGGGGUAAAGGGAAUUUCCAGUGGAGCGGUGAAAUGCGUAGAGAUUGGAAAGAACACCGAUGGCGAAGGCACUUUACUGGGCUAUUACUAACACUCAGAGACGAAAGCUAGGGUAGCAAAUGGG
This 253-nucleotide ribosomal RNA is filed under the name uncultured bacterium. Its description in RNAcentral is "partial 16S ribosomal RNA". It matches the Rfam family "Bacterial small subunit ribosomal RNA", at positions 524 to 776 of the family's 1533-position model. The record is from RNAcentral.